UUUAUCUACCGGAAAACAAUAGAAAGCGACAAAAAGUUGAAACUAGUAUAUCAAAACCGCACGAAAACUAGUAUAUCAAAGAGUUUUCGAGAUGACGUUUUGGAGAAGGAGAGUUCCAGAUUCGGUUUAACUGUUGGAUGUGGAAUGAGGAGGGAUCUAGAAGAUGUUGUUUCGGAGGGAUCUAGAAGAUGUUUCGGUAAAACCGCCGUUUUGUAAAAUGAAUGCUUCGAUUUGCUCUAAUCUACACUUUUACGGUGUGUUCGACGGCCAUGGCUGCUCUCAUGUAACAUCCAAAACCAUUAUAUAUAUUAUUGUU
RNAcentral lists this long non-coding RNA (316 nucleotides) under Helianthus annuus (common sunflower). RNAcentral's name for it is "sRNA HanXRQr2_Chr07g0311091". Lineage: Eukaryota; Viridiplantae; Streptophyta; Magnoliopsida; Asterales; Asteraceae. The record is from RNAcentral.